AGCCUACGGGGGGCAGCAGUGGGGAAUAUUGCACAAUGGGGGAAACCCUGAUGCAGCGACGCCGCGUGAGUGAAGAAGUAAUUCGUUACGUAAAGCUCUAUCAGCAGGGAAGAAAAUGACGGUACCUGAGUAAGAAGCCCCGGCUAACUACGUGCCAGCAGCCGCGGUAAUACGUAGGGGGCAAGCGUUGUCCGGAAUUACUGGGUGUAAAGGGAGCGCAGGCGGGAAGCCAAGUCAGCUGUGAAAACUACGGGCCUAACUUGUAGACUGCAGUUGAAACUGGUUUUCUUGAGUGAAGUAGAGGG
RNAcentral lists this ribosomal RNA (305 nucleotides) under uncultured bacterium. RNAcentral describes it as "bacterial SSU rRNA". It matches the Rfam family "Bacterial small subunit ribosomal RNA", at positions 335 to 658 of the family's 1533-position model. The record is from RNAcentral.